UACGUAGGGUGCAAGCGUUGUCCGGAAUUAUUGGGCGUAAAGAGCUCGUAGGCGGUUUGUCGCGUCGAAUGUGAAAACCCGGGGCUCAACCCCUGGCCUGCAUUCGAUACGGGCAGACUAGAGUUCGGUAGGGGAGUCUGGAAUUCCUGGUGUAGCGGUGAAAUGCGCAGAUAUCAGGAGGAACACCGGUGGCGAAGGCGGGUCUCUGGGCCGUAACUGACGCUGAGGAGCGAAAGCGUGGGGAGCGAACAGG
RNAcentral lists this ribosomal RNA (253 nucleotides) under uncultured bacterium. RNAcentral's name for it is "partial 16S ribosomal RNA". It matches the Rfam family "Bacterial small subunit ribosomal RNA", at positions 524 to 776 of the family's 1533-position model. The record is from RNAcentral.